This is a long non-coding RNA of Varroa destructor (honeybee mite), 3654 nucleotides long. RefSeq lists it as uncharacterized. The record is from RefSeq and is a predicted model, not a curated record. Lineage: Eukaryota; Metazoa; Arthropoda; Arachnida; Mesostigmata; Varroidae.
ACCUAAAAAUAACAUUAACUUUAUUUUCAUAAUUAAACAUUGAUCAUGUGCAUUCUAUGUGUGCAUGUGCAAUGGUUCUAUUUCAAUGUCUUGUUUCUUAAAAGGAAUCGCACUGGAGAAGCACUUCUAUUAUUUUAGGACUACAAAGAUACAUUUAAUUACCAGAACCGAACGGAUGCCAAAGCUGGACUUCAUGUCUCACAAAUUGGUGAAAAUUGUCCAUCAUUUUUCCGGUUUUUUCAUAUCUUCGAUUCUCCGUGUUAAGUUUGUUUUGACGCUCUUUGACCUCGUUCAUGAGGUUCUUCCAACUGUUUUCCAAAGAAACUAUCGUAAGCCGAAUGUAUGGGUUACCAGGAGUGUUGAUGCUGUAGUAGUCUUAGAACUUCGUGUCGACCAUCUCCACUUCGAUUAAAUCGUCAUGGAUUCUGGCCAUUUUCGACAGAAGCUACAAGAACCUUCUGUGAAGCUCUUUUUAAAAUCUACUUCCGCUUUCUCGAACCACGGAUGCAAGGCGAUCGCUUUCUUGCUAAGGUCUUUAUAGUUUAGUCGUGUCUAAAACUGUUUCACAGCUAUAAUAUGCAUACGUACAAAGACGUACGUUUGACAAAUCCGACAACUUCUAAUGUUCAUAGCUUCUACUGCGCCGGCGGUGAAUCUGCUAUUGAACUCAGUCUGCUUCUAAGAUACACCUAAAUUGACGAUAGGAAUCUACCGGAAUGUUGGCCGUUUGUUUAAGUUUCUCUUUCUGCAAACCCUUUCCUUAUAAGGUCAUUUGACAAUUUCACAAAAAUUACGGAAAUAGCCGGCUUUCGAAUUAUAGCUAAUCGCUCCAUUUUUCGCCUAUUCUUUCAUUAUCUCCUCGGAGAUUGUUACUAGAUAACUAUGUGAGGUCGUCAUGCUGGUGCGCUCAUAAGCUGUCAACCGCAUCGUCUAAUAAGUAUAACUUAAGCACCGAACUAAUGAGUUGAUCACUUUACUAGCUCCGGGCAUACAUGAGUACAGAGGAUGCGUCUCUCUUCUAUCUCGCCUAAAAACACCCAAUUAACAAAAAUUGUCUCUCUUCAUUUACGCAAGGGCUUCAAUUAGAAGCCCUUAGAGAUAGAAGAAUAGCUGCCUUGUACUUCGUGACAUAGACCAAUAUGUAAAUAUGACACUCAGAUCUGUUUGUCUUUCUUAUUUGGCGUCCAACUUAAAGUAGGACUGACAGAUCACAGAGAACCAUAUUGCUAAUUUAUCUGAAAUAUUCAGAACAGACUCCGUUGUGUGCCAACAUAGGCGUUUCACGCAUUGAUAAUAUCCCAGCUUCUAAUGAACGGCUUGCAUAUUAGAUCAUAGGCUAAAGUGCAACCAUAAAGCCUCGUCUACGACUACUAUAUAACUGCAUAUCAGUGCGGGAAUGAAUGUUCAAAGUGACCUUUAGAUCAUUUACAUCUGUCGCCUAAAAUAGAAAAUCUGGAAAAUUAUAACAUGAAAAAAUUUGGACAUUUAACUAACCAAAGGCGAUGGCCUGCAACCGAAAUACGGCGCGUCAGGUAUCACUGCUAACCGAGAAUAAAAAUAAACAUUAAUGACUCUCAAUGAUUAACCGCAUUCACUAAAUCGUAGCGCCUAACUCAACACGUACAUGUGGUAUAAAUGAUAUCAGUGACACACAACUCGUGACCCGUCACGAAAAAAGCUAACUAGUUGACACCUUGCUGGCGCAUAGCUGAGAAGAAGAGCUCGUUCUUACUCAGCUGGCGCUGUCGUCUGCAGACUAUUGCACAGUCUAAAGGCGUGUUACGUUUCAACACAACACAACGACAGCUGACUACCCUUUCGUCGAAUUAAGCCUAUAAGUUUAAAUUCACUGCUGAGAAUUGAAUGUCUCAUAUACAUGUCUUCUCUAUAUUCCUGAGUAAUUUUUAACGAUUACUGCGAGUGAAUUAAUGCUGGCACGUCUUGCUAACACACAUCACAUCUUGUUUCAAAUUUACAAAAUCCAAUUGACUAAAACUUUGGGCCGGUAAUAGGCCAACGUUGUUAAAAAGUUAGUCUCAAAAAGGCAAAACUCCCUAAAACACGCGAAGGGUUGCGUAGGGCCGAGAAUGGAUUAACUGUUGUAAUUCACACAAAUUUACAGGUAUUUCAACGUUAUUAGAAUUGUCUUUUUGUCCUCUUUGGUACAUUUUUGACCAGUUAAGUUUAAGAACUGCAGAUCUUCCGUUUUAACCUGUGCAAGUCUUCCCGGAUUCAUUGACAUAACAGGCAACAACGGCGUGGACUCGGUUAUUUUUAUUCUAGAUAAUAAAUGCAUUGAGCUUUACGACCAGUACUGCCGUUAAGCAUUGCCUUACGCUGUUGUAUCAUAGCGUAAAACGAAGCGUAUAUACGCCCGGUUCUGAAUCUAGGUCACCUCAGGAGUAUACUCACAACUAUAGGAUCAACUGCUUAAGCUAAAAUCGAGCCGCAAGAUUAAAGGAAGAUUGACACUGAUGGAGAAAUAACGAGCUCUGACGCUUCGAAAGCUAUUAACCUAUACUUUCGAAGAUAUUUGCAAAAUAGCAGACCGUAAAUAUACUACUAGCUAGAGUCGCUAGGAAACUAUCCGCAUUGUAUUCAUUGCGUAAAAAAAGUUAACGAGGAUCUAAGACGUCUUCUAUAAUAUGAAUCCGUAGUAAAUCUUUUCGGACGUCUGUACACUCAAAUUGCAAUGACGUCUGUGCAAAGCGGUUGGCAGAACUAUUCGCGAACAGGGUUAACGGGUACCGGAAGGAGCUUAAUGGGAAGGCCGAGAGGCGAAAAGCGCAAGCGAUGAGACUGCGGCGCAAAUCUUUCUUCGAUGCAAGUCUAGUCUUAUUUCCAGAAAUUCGCUCCCGACAGUUAUGUUCUGCAGUUAAACACAUGGCUCGCUAAUGUCUCAGAUGAUCUCCGAGAUUCGACUGCUCAUGAGCUAUAUGUACAUUAGUGCGAAGAAAAUCGGCAACUUUUUUUAAUAUGCACACAUUACUUUCGCUUUAUAGCAUUUUCAGUAUCUAUUUUAUCUAUACACACAAUUCAUGUACUCUAUACACAAAAGGGGUUUUUGUGUCGCUGUAGCAGAAUACGUAGGUUAGGUACGUACUGGUAUAACUAAGUGUUACUCAAUUCGAUUCAGUGAGUUAUCGAAUUUUCUUGCCGAACCGUUUCCAAAAAACAAAGUUUUAAGCCUCCGGAAACACAAUGAGUUGCCAAUAAUUAACAAUCAUAGCAGUCAUUAUGCGUACAUCGACUCGCUUUAACACACUCGCAAUCUCUUACUUAGUACGCACACAAUUAUUGUUAGUAAACCGUAAAUGUUUUUUUCUUAAUACGAAAAGGCUUAAACGAGCGUACGUGACCGCUAUACAAAAUCAUAAGGUACAGGGAUUCAAUGAAACCCUCUUAAAUAAUAAAGUAAAUCAAACACAAAAACUAUGGUUGUAGUGUCUCCUCUUGUGACAAUACAUGUGCUGCUAGCACUAAGAGUGAGAACAGUAUAAGUUCGUUUUAUCAUUCUAUACUGCUUUCUAGUCGUUCUUAAAUUAACCAGUUUGUUUCCCCAUUUUUCUUGCUGUUUUCAGCUAAGAUAGCAAACUCUUAAACUGAUCUUAUUUUUCAUUAUCUCUUGUGAAGAAAUACCUGCUAAAGGAAAAC